Molecule: ribosomal RNA, 907 nt
Filed under: Soehngenia sp. enrichment culture clone B312140
Lineage: Bacteria; Bacillati; Bacillota; Tissierellia; Tissierellales; Tissierellaceae
Description: bacterial SSU rRNA
Rfam family: Bacterial small subunit ribosomal RNA
Source: RNAcentral
AGAGUUUGAUCAUGGCUCAGGACGAACGCUGGCGGCGUGCUAACACAUGCAAGUCGAACGAAGUGACUCCGAGAGAAAUUUUCGGAUGGAUCGAAGAGUCAUCUUAGCGGCGGACGGGUGAGUAACGCGUGAGAAACCUGCCUUUCACAAAGGGAUAGCCUCGGGAAACUGGGAUUAAUACCUUAUGAAACUGAAUUACCGCAUGGUAGAUCAGUCAAAGCGAAUAAGCGGUGAAAGAUGGUCUCGCGUCCUAUUAGCUAGUUGGUGAGGUAACGGCUCACCAAGGCUUCGAUAGGUAGCCGGCCUGAGAGGGUGAACGGCCACACUGGAACUGAGACACGGUCCAGACUCCUACGGGAGGCAGCAGUGGGGAAUAUUGCACAAUGGAGGAAACUCUGAUGCAGCGACGCCGCGUGAAUGAUGAAGGCCUUCGGGUUGUAAAGUUCUGUCCUUGGGGAAGAUAAUGACGGUACCCAAGGAGGAAGCCCCGGCUAACUACGUGCCAGCAGCCGCGGUAAUACGUAGGGGGCGAGCGUUGUCCGGAAUUAUUGGGCGUAAAGGGUUCGCAGGCGGUCUGAUAAGUCAGAUGUGAAAGGCGUAGGCUCAACCUACGUAAGCAUUUGAAACUGUCAGACUUGAGUUAAGGAGAGGAAAGUGGAAUUCCUAGUGUAGCGGUGAAAUGCGUAGAUAUUAGGAGGAAUACCAGUGGCGAAGGCGACUUUCUGGACUUAUACUGACGCUGAGGAACGAAAGCGUGGGGAGCAAACAGGAUUAGAUACCCUGGUAGUCCACGCCGUAAACGAUGAGUGCUAGGUGUUGGGGGUCAAACCUCGGUGCCGCAGCUAACGCAUUAAGCACUCCGCCUGGGGAGUACGUACGCAAGUAUGAAACUCAAAUGAAUUGACGG